AUUCAUGGGCAGCUCUGACUUCCUGUCUCCUGUGCGCUGUGGCAAAGGCCGAUCAUCACAUGCGCUACAGAGAGUUUUGUUGAGCCCACAGUGAAGACACUUCAUAUAUGCAAACACGUCUCUGUGGGGAAGAGCAAGGCUCCUGCAGAAAGGAGAUCAGAUGGAUCAGGGAUCCCACAGCCCGAGUCUUUGGCCUGAUAUGGGCACCCUUGGGAGAGACCCCUCCACACAAAUGUUUCCUGCAAAGAAAACACUCCUGCCUCACUUUCUUCAACUCAGCUAUGACCUCCUUUCCUGAAAUGGAAAACUGCAUCCUCUGCCAUCAGUAGAAGCUGGCUGUAAGAGCACACCCCAUGUAAACAGAGCGACACAGUCGGGCUCUGCUUUCUCAGUCUGAAACCUGCUCUUUCUCCCUUGGACAUGGAGCCUCCAAGUUCUAAAGACAUACUAGGAGCAGACUACAGCUUUUCUUGCAUCUGGAAGAAUAGAGGGAAAAAGAAAACACCUCAAAAGUAAACAACUUCCUCAGUCUGUGAUUGGUGGUUGUUGAAUCCAGUGAAUAGGCAUCAUUGAAGGUCAUACUCGGCCCACAGUUCAGGACCCUCUGGUACAGACUCCAAGAACUACCACUUACUGUAUGAGUUCCAAGUAACAAAUUCUGAGUAUUACCUUAUUUAACUCACCCCGGGGUGAGUUCUCUAAGGAAGAACCCAUUAUUGCCCAGUCUUCCAGAUGAGGAAACAGGCCUAGCCGGAGAAAGAGGCUUGACCACAACCACACAGUCAUAGGUGGCUGAGUCAGGAUCCAGUGAGGAUAAACAGUCAUCCUAAGUUUUCAAAGACAGAGAAUUUAAUUACAGGGACUUCCUAGAUGGCAGAAGAACCAAGAAGUUGGACAAGGGACAUUGAGGCAACCCUGGCAUCCACAGCAUCAGGAAGGGGCUACUACCUCUCAGAGGCAUAAGGAAGGAGACAGUUACCAGAGCCCAGGAAUCAGACUCACUGGAGGGAAGCUGUCACCAGGGUGGGUCUUUGUGGCAGGAGCUGGCUUGUAGAAGGAAGGACACUCCAGGCAAGACAGCCCAACAAAGAGAGAUAAGAAGCCUAGCCAGACUCCUUCACACACCCAUGGCCCAUCAGGGUUCCCAUUGGCCCAGCCAAGUCAGAAGCCAGAGACAUAUGCACCUGGGCUCAUAGCCUGCAGAGGCCAGACACCCACGAUACAGGGCAGAGCAGGGAUAGAUGGGAAGAGGGGAGGCUCUGAGAGCACUAGGCAUAGGCUCACCCAGGUAGUCUCAUUCUGGGGUCUUCUCACUCACACACACCAUGAUGCAGCUGACUGCUGGAUUUCAUAAGAUAAGGGUUCAUGUGUGUUCGUCCCCAUUCCAAGAAGAGGUGGGCUCUUCCUACUUUCUAGCUACCUGGAGCUACCUAGAGCUUUCUUUUAAUGUCUAGGAAGUCCCUGAGAGUACGUUUUCCAUUUUAAAACUGUUUAAAGUUGUCUGAGGACAAUUUUUUCCUCCAUUCUUUUAAGCCCAUUGAAAAGGUAGUGCACAGUAUCCCUGAGUGAGGGAGGUGAGGCGGGAGUGCAGUUGUUUUUCUUGGAUGGAGAACAGAUCUGAGGUCCAUGGAGCAUGUGGGUAGGGGUUACCUGUGUCUCACUCCCUGUAUGCAUUCCCAGGAGGAUGCCAGGUCUCCUCAGGGCUCUUGAAUAUAUUUAAAAGGCUGAGGUCCCAACAUGAGACACUAUCUCGUCCAAGGCUCCCAGCUCCACAGGAGCAUAGGGCAGAAAGCUGCCAGACCACAUACAUAAUGCAGGAAUGUCCGAGACCCUUGUCCUGAGGGAGCAACAGGAAGCCUUGGAAGAUGGGGAAGGGCCAGUAGCCAUGAGGCUCAGUCCUCUCCUGCCUGAUGGGCGGGACCUGUGGAGUCAGUGAGACUCAUGUGAAGACAAUGAAGACAGGGUAUUUGUCACCCAUCUGAUCAUGGGGCUGAAAUGCUCAGUUGGCGGUGAUGCGGAAAGUGAGGGGGUGACAUGAGGUCAGUCCCCCAAUCUCAGCCAACCUGAGGGGCUUGCUUGA
This 2080-nucleotide long non-coding RNA is filed under the name Callithrix jacchus (white-tufted-ear marmoset). RNAcentral's name for it is "lncRNA (ENSCJAG00000070150.1)". Lineage: Eukaryota; Metazoa; Chordata; Mammalia; Primates; Cebidae. The record is from RNAcentral.